RNAcentral lists this ribosomal RNA (253 nucleotides) under uncultured bacterium. Its description in RNAcentral is "partial 16S ribosomal RNA". It matches the Rfam family "Bacterial small subunit ribosomal RNA", at positions 524 to 776 of the family's 1533-position model. The record is from RNAcentral.
UACGGGGGGGGCAAGCGUUGUUCGGAAUUACUGGGCGUAAAGGGCUCGUAGGCGGCCAACUAAGUCGGAUGUGAAAUCCCCAGGCUUAACCUGGGAACUGCAUCCGAUACUGGAUGGCUUGAAUUCGGGAGAGGGACGCAGAAUUCCAGGUGUAGCGGUGAAAUGCGUAGAUAUCUGGAGGAAUACCGGUGGCGAAGGCGGCAUCCUGGACCGAGAUUGACGCUGAUGAGCGAAAGCUAGGGGAGCAAACGGG